Molecule: ribosomal RNA, 451 nt
Filed under: uncultured bacterium
Lineage: Bacteria
Description: bacterial SSU rRNA
Rfam family: Bacterial small subunit ribosomal RNA
Source: RNAcentral
UAGCAACACCGCUGACGACCGGCGCACGGGUGAGUAACGCGUAUGCAACCUGCCUAGUAACUGGGGAAUAGCUCCCUGAAAGGGGAAUUAACACCGCAUAACACUAUUGAUUCGCAUGGAUUGGUAGUUAAAUGUAGCGAUACAGGUUAUAGAUGGGCAUGCGUGACAUUAGCUAGUUGGUGAGGUAACGGCUCACCAAGGCUACGAUGUCUAGGGGUUCUGAGAGGAAGGUCCCCCACACUGGUACUGAGACACCGGACCAGACUCCUACGGGAGGCAGCAGUGAGGAAUAUUGGUCAAUGGGCGCAAGCCUGAACCAGCCAUGUCGCGUGCAGGAAGACUGCCCCCUAUGGGUUGUAAACUGCUUUUAUAGUAGAAGAAACACAUCUACGUGUAGAUGUCUGCCAGUAUACUAUGAAUAAGCAUCGGCUAACUCCGUGCCAGCAGCAGC